Molecule: long non-coding RNA, 1009 nt
Organism: Lutra lutra (Eurasian river otter)
Lineage: Eukaryota; Metazoa; Chordata; Mammalia; Carnivora; Mustelidae
Exons: 4
Source: RefSeq, a predicted model, not a curated record
GGUGAGUCAACAGCAGCGACAAGAAGACACAAGAAAGAAAGAAGCACGCUGCUCUGUGGGGCUGAGCAGAGGGGAAGCAGAGGGCCACACUGGGAACUUCCAGCCAAAACAAGACCAACAGCAUGGAGGCGGUGGUAGAACCCUAAUAGGCUUCCUACAUAUGACUAUUUUACUUACAAGAAGCUCAUCUCACUUCGGAGUGAACAUAUCCUGGACCUUCCCUAGAAUAAGAAAAUCAUCAAGUACUGUUGAAGACCAGUGAUGACCGGAGAAAAUGUGUCAGAACCGAGAAACUGUUUACAAAGAUGCUAGUGCCUGUUGUGAGGCCCACUUCCUUGUGACUGAAACUAGCAGAUGCCCAGCUCUGCUGCAGGAAUGCUGGCAAGCCCCAGCAAGCAGGGCCUCCUCCAAGGGGACACACAGAGUCCUCCUCUGCUGCUGUUUUCUGACAUGUUGAACAAUCUGCUCAUUUUCUUCUGCUCUGACUCCUCUGGAUAAUGAAGGAACGACCUUCUCUCCAUCCACAGGGCUAUGCCAAGAUAUGACGCAUGCGCUCAGGACAGCAGUGCAGAUCUCUGACACGCCAUUUUUCUCACGGGGAAAGUAUUUGUCAGCCCCUUGGCCAACUUAUUUGGAGAUUCCAGCAAUGAAGGGGGUGUCACGCAAAUGGCACAGAGACCUCUGUUUCUCUUUGAAAGAGACUGCUUUUGAAGGAACACGAAACUGCAAUAAUACCGGCUUGUGUUAGAAUACAACUUCACAUAAAAUGUGUUUUCAGGAAAAGAAGAAAAUUGAAGAGAAACCUGAAGUUGUUUCAAGACUGAUGCUGAGCUAUCCUAUCACUCGUUUCCCUGGAACUUGGGCUGAUGAGAGAAAGUAUCUCUUCCAUUGUCACAAUUUUCUCUAGGUUAUUUCUGAAAAUCUUUACUCUUGUUUCAGGGAUGGGAAACAACAACAAACAAACAAACAAACAAAAACCUUGUUUUCCAUUUCAUUAAACCAAAAAUCC